CCUACGGGAGGCAGCAGUGGGGAAUUUUGGACAAUGGGCGCAAGCCUGAUCCAGCAAUGCCGCGUGCAGGAUGAAGGCCUUCGGGUUGUAAACUGCUUUUGUACGGAACGAAACGGUGAGCUCUAAUACAGUUUGCUAAUGACGGUACCGUAAGAAUAAGCACCGGCUAACUACGUGCCAGCAGCCGCGGUAAUACGUAGGGUGCGAGCGUUAAUCGGAAUUACUGGGCGUAAAGCGUGCGCAGGCGGUGAUGUAAGACAGAUGUGAAAUGCCCGGGCUCAACCUGGGACCUGCAUUUGUGACUGCAUCGCUAGAGUACGGUAGAGGGGGAUGGAAUUCCGCGUGUAGCAGUGAAAUGCGUAGAUAUGCGGAGGAACACCGAUGGCGAAGGCAAUCCCCUGGACCUGUACUGACGCUCAUGCACGAAAGCGUGGGGAGCAAACAGGAUUAGAUACCCUGGUAGUCCACGCCCUAAACGAUGUCAACUGGUUGUUGGGUCUUCACUGACUCAGUAACGAAGCUAACGCGUGAAGUUGACCGCCUUGGGGAGUUACGGCCGCAAGGUUGAAACGUUACAGAGUUAGUUACGGCGGNGAGAGACGCGACGACGGACGACGACGGAGGAGGAG
This 629-nucleotide ribosomal RNA is filed under the name uncultured bacterium. RNAcentral's name for it is "bacterial SSU rRNA". It matches the Rfam family "Bacterial small subunit ribosomal RNA", at positions 338 to 956 of the family's 1533-position model. The record is from RNAcentral.